CGAGGGGAGUGAAAAAGAACCUGAAACCGUGUACGUACAAGCAGUGGGAGCACAGAGCAAUCUGUGUGACUGCGUACCUUUUGUAUAAUGGGUCAGCGACUUAUAUUCUGUAGCAAGGUUAACCGAAUAGGGGAGCCGAAGGGAAACCGAGUCUUAACUGGGCGUUAAGUUGCAGGGUAUAGACCCGAAACCCGGUGAUCUAGCCAUGGGCAGGUUGAAGGUUGGGUAACACUAACUGGAGGACCGAACCGACUAAUGUUGAAAAAUUAGCGGAUGACUUGUGGCUGGGGGUGAAAGGCCAAUCAAACCGGGAGAUAGCUGGUUCUCCCCGAAAGCUAUUUAGGUAGCGCCUCGUGAAUUCAUCUCCGGGGGUAGAGCACUGUUUCGGCAAGGGGGUCAUCCCGACUUACCAACCCGAUGCAAACUGCGAAUACCGGAGAAUGUUAUCACGGGAGACACACGGCGGGUGCUAACGUCCGUCGUGAAGAGGGAAACAACCCAGACCGCCAGCUAAGGUCCCAAAGUCAUGGUUAAGUGGGAAACGAUGUGGGAAGGCCCAGACAGCCAGGAUGUUGGCUUAGAAGCAGCCAUCAUUUAAAGAAAGCGUAAUAGCUCACUGGUCGAGUCGGCCUGCGCGGAAGAUGUAACGGGGCUAAACCAUG
Molecule: ribosomal RNA, 662 nt
Filed under: Escherichia coli
Lineage: Bacteria; Pseudomonadati; Pseudomonadota; Gammaproteobacteria; Enterobacterales; Enterobacteriaceae
Description: partial 23S ribosomal RNA
Rfam family: Bacterial large subunit ribosomal RNA
Source: RNAcentral